GGAGACACCACACUUUCUGAAGUGCUUAUGAGACUUGCAGGAGGUAUCCUGUAAGAAGAGAAAAGGAGACAUGGACACACAUACAGAGGAGAAUGCCGCAUAGCAGAGAUGGGAGCGGUGUGGCUCCAAGUCAUGUCAAGCAUUGCCAGCCACUACCAGAGGCCAGAACGGCCAAGAAGGCGCCUCCCCUGGAACCUGCAGAGAGACCGUGACCCUCUCGGCACCUUGAUUGAGGAUUUCUAGCCUCCAUAACUGCGAGAUAAUACAUCUCUGUUGUUUUAAGCUUCCAAGUUUGACGUGAUUUGUGAUAGCAGCCCUAGGAAAUGGAUAAAAAUACUGAGUAUACUGCCUUGGUUUUCCGUGUUGCUGACUGUGUCUGUCUGCCCUCUAGACUGUCAUCAGGCAAACUCAGUGACUGCUAAAAGCGCAUCUGACCCACACAAGCCCUCAGCCCACCUUGCUGUUUACUUGGCUUUCAGCAGUAGGAGAAAAAAUGAUGUUUAUAUUAUAAAAGUAAAUCAGCUGUAUUGUACUUUACAGCAGAGAAACCCUUUGUUACUCAUAUUUUCAAAUACUUUUUAAGAGAUGUUUAAAGCAUGGAAAGUAUUUUUAGCAUUUAAAGUAUUUGCAUUUUUAAUAAAAAAAUUUCUCCACAGAAAAA
Molecule: long non-coding RNA, 661 nt
Filed under: Homo sapiens (human)
Lineage: Eukaryota; Metazoa; Chordata; Mammalia; Primates; Hominidae
Description: HSALNT0375095
Source: RNAcentral